RNAcentral lists this unclassified non-coding RNA (249 nucleotides) under soil metagenome. Its description in RNAcentral is "partial contains small subunit ribosomal RNA, internal transcribed spacer 1, and 5.8S ribosomal RNA". The record is from RNAcentral.
UCUCCGUUGGUGAACCAGCGGAGGGAUCAUUAAAGAGUUGCGAAACUCCCUAAAACCAUCGUGAACCUACCUAUCUCGUUGCCUCGGCGGGCGGCUCCGGCACCCGGAGACGUCACGCCCGCUUCCCCCUCCCCCGGGGGGCGCGGGGCGCCCGCCGUCGGCACCCGACACCCUGUAUUCAGUGGAUAUCUCUGAGUGAUGCUUCUAGCAAAUAAGUCAAAACUUUCAACAACGGAUCUCUUGGUUCUG